UGUGUCAUUUCCGAAAUCCACAGGGAAUGUAAAGAAAUUUCUACUUUUGAAGAUGUGGUUCUAAAUGCUAAAAAGUCUGUAGCCUUUACAGAAAUUGAAUCUUCUCUCCAGGAACUAAAAGAGAACAUGUCCCUUAUUCUGGAAGACAGACUAAAGAAUUUAUCUACAAUAUCAGUUUCGAAAGAGAAACUUUAAUCCGAGAUAUCCGCAUUUAGACAACAGAUAAAUCACCACCUUGAUGAAAUACCAGAC
This 252-nucleotide long non-coding RNA is filed under the name Mytilus galloprovincialis (Mediterranean mussel). Lineage: Eukaryota; Metazoa; Mollusca; Bivalvia; Mytilida; Mytilidae. The record is from RNAcentral.